UUCUCAGCUUAGGUAAAACUACCCGCUGAAUUUAAGCAUAUAAUUAAGCGGAGGAAAAGAAACUAACAAGGAUUCCCCUAGUAACGGCGAGUGAAGCGGGAAAAGCUCAAAAUGUGAAUCUGCGUA
Molecule: ribosomal RNA, 126 nt
Filed under: Trieres chinensis
Lineage: Eukaryota; Bacillariophyta; Thalassiosirophyceae; Eupodiscales; Parodontellaceae
Description: partial Eukaryotic large subunit ribosomal RNA
Rfam family: Eukaryotic large subunit ribosomal RNA
Source: RNAcentral